GAAAUUGAAACUGGCUAGGGAAAAUGAUUGGAUGAGAAAUAUAUUAUUUUCUAUUCAUUUAUCCUAGCCUACAAAAUGAAAAAA
This 84-nucleotide microRNA precursor is filed under the name Aotus nancymaae (Ma's night monkey). The record is from RNAcentral. Lineage: Eukaryota; Metazoa; Chordata; Mammalia; Primates; Aotidae.